This 374-nucleotide ribosomal RNA is filed under the name uncultured organism. RNAcentral's name for it is "partial 16S ribosomal RNA". It matches the Rfam family "Bacterial small subunit ribosomal RNA", at positions 527 to 896 of the family's 1533-position model. The record is from RNAcentral.
GUAGGUGGCAAGCGUUGUCCGGAAUUAUUGGGCGUAAAGCGCGCGCAGGCGGUCCUUUAAGUCUGAUGUGAAAGCCCACGGCUCAACCGUGGAGGGUCAUUGGAAACUGGGGGACUUGAGUACAGAAGAGGAAAGCGGAAUUCCAAGUGUAGCGGUGAAAUGCGUAGAGAUUUGGAGGAACACCAGUCGCGAAGGCGGCUUUCUGGUCUGUAACUGACGCUGAGGCGCGAAAGCGUGGGGAGCAAACAGGAUUAGAUACCCUGGUAGUCCACGCCGUAAACGAUGAGUGCUAAGUGUUAGGGGGUUUCCCGCCCCCCUUAGUGCUGCAGCUAACGCAUUAAGCACUCCGCCUGGGGAGUACGGCCGCAAGGCUG